UGGGCAUUGCUUCUCUCCUGAUAGCUGACUUCUGGCACUCUGCCUAUCCAUUAUGGGGACUCCCAGAGUGUUACUGGUGCAAGUUCUGAUCCUGGCUUUUCUUAGGACUUGGGCAAGCACGCUACCCAUGUUGACCCAGCUGGUACCGUCUAAUACUAAAAGAACGGGUAAUACGGCCUUUCUUGAAUGUCAAGUGAACGUGACCCAGUUUGAGAAUGUUUACAUCCACUGGUACCGCCAGCAGCCCGGUGGGCCUCUGAUACGGAUUCUCUACCUUUCAUCCAAUGAGAAUGUCAUUCAUGAGGAAGGGGUCAAUGAGGAGAGGUAUGAAGCCAAGAAACGGGAGAGGGACUUCUCGGCAAGUCUCAGAAUCCACCAAGUCACGGAGGCAGAUGAAGGGCUCUACUACUGUGCCUGCUGGGAUGGCACUCUGAGCCAAAGCCACAGGGACACUGAACAAAAACUGUCUCCCUGUACAGAUUCAUACACCUGGGAAAGGCAGGGGUCCCACAUUGAGAUACCACCCAACUGGCUGGUUGUGUCAGCACAGGAAGUCUUGCUGCUGUGCUUGUGCUCUACUCGAAGCUAA
Sarcophilus harrisii (Tasmanian devil) is the source of this 589-nucleotide non-coding RNA. NCBI's taxonomy places the organism in Eukaryota, Metazoa, Chordata, Mammalia, Dasyuromorphia, Dasyuridae. The record is from the annotation of a RefSeq genome assembly.